RNAcentral lists this unclassified non-coding RNA (225 nucleotides) under Hevea brasiliensis (rubber tree). Lineage: Eukaryota; Viridiplantae; Streptophyta; Magnoliopsida; Malpighiales; Euphorbiaceae. The record is from RNAcentral.
UAAAUGCUUAUAAGUUCAAAUUAGUUUAUAAGCAUGGUUUUAAAUAAUAAUGGCCAUUAUUUAGAGGUUUUUUUGGCUUAACGUUAUCGUUAUUACCGUUAUUUAACGGAUUUUUAAAUUUGUAACUGUAAAGGCCAUUACUGCCAUUAUGUAAAGGUAAUGAUGGCCGUUAUUUAACGGUAAUGGCCAUUACUUUUCUAGCUAAGAAUUUUGGGCUUUUUUUUU